Molecule: transfer RNA, 70 nt
Filed under: Plethodon elongatus (Del Norte salamander)
Lineage: Eukaryota; Metazoa; Chordata; Amphibia; Caudata; Plethodontidae
Description: tRNA-Pro
Rfam family: tRNA
About the family: Transfer RNA (tRNA) molecules are approximately 80 nucleotides in length. Their secondary structure includes four short double-helical elements and three loops (D, anti-codon, and T loops).
Source: RNAcentral
UAAGCGGUAGUUAAAUUUAGAAUUUUGGCCUUGGGUGUCAAUGGUGAAGGUGUAAAUCCUUCCUGCUUAA